GGUUGACCUCGGAUCAGGUAGGAAUACCCGCUGAACUUAAGCAUAUCAAUAGCCGGAGGAAAAAGGAUCAUUACCGAG
RNAcentral lists this ribosomal RNA (78 nucleotides) under Exophiala xenobiotica. RNAcentral's name for it is "partial 28S ribosomal RNA". The record is from RNAcentral. Lineage: Eukaryota; Fungi; Ascomycota; Eurotiomycetes; Chaetothyriales; Herpotrichiellaceae.